Molecule: long non-coding RNA, 843 nt
Organism: Drosophila biarmipes
Lineage: Eukaryota; Metazoa; Arthropoda; Insecta; Diptera; Drosophilidae
Exons: 3
Source: RefSeq, a predicted model, not a curated record
UAGUUUUUAAAGUUUCCAAGAUCAAGUUUCCAAAAGACUGACAUGGCUUGACUGACUCGACUAGUAAUCCUGAUCACCAUCCUAUGCACUGUGCAAAAUUGGUUUAAUAUUGUCAAUCGAUCGUCCAAAAACAGUCGUUGUGCCAGUGAACAAUAAUUCCACUUCUAAACUGAUAGUACAAGACCGUCAUGUGAAAUACUUCCCAAGUGAGAAGAAAAGGUGAACGAACAGCCGAACGCAUACACAUCAGUCCGCUGAGAUACAUCAAUAUUUAUGCCGAGAAUUUGUAGCAUGCUUCCCAGUCGCCGUCGGAGUCUAAGCCUUAAACCCAUUUAAUUUUAUUACACUUUGCGGACUUUAAGGAACCGAAGAGCGGUUAAAAGGUCUCCCCCAUGGAACCCCAAAAACUCAUCGGGUACACGGAGGCCUGGGCUAAAUUUAAAUCUCCUGAGGGGUGGCUGUGGCUCUAAUUUUGCUAAUACAUUUGAUGAAGUGGAGUGUCCAUACCGCACUUUGGGGAUGGCGGCUGAAUGCUGUUGAAUGAAUGACUGAGAACGCUCUAGUCGAUGGCCUCGACUACCAGAUACCCCUUACUCAGCCAAGGGAGAUAAAGAUUUGCAAGCUGCAAUUACCGAAUUCAAAUCAAGCUUGCGCUGCGCGAGGAUUUUUAGAAUCAGCACGCUGAAUUCCAACAUGCCAGCUUUUAUAUAUUUCGAGAUAUGAUCGUUCAUACGGACGGACAUACUAACGGACAUGGCAAGUUCGACGCUGCCAGUAAUCAAGAUCAAACAAAUAUACACUUUACGGGGUAGGAGCUGGUUCUUCUAUAUGUAAUAUCCUUUC